Long non-coding RNA from Ricinus communis (castor bean), 685 nucleotides. RefSeq lists it as uncharacterized. NCBI's taxonomy places the organism in Eukaryota, Viridiplantae, Streptophyta, Magnoliopsida, Malpighiales, Euphorbiaceae. The transcript has 2 exons. The record is from RefSeq and is a predicted model, not a curated record.
GGGAAUCUGAAACACAAUGAAGCACGAUUCAUCAAUUUCAAGCAAUGCAUGACUACAAUAGGAUGACACAGAAAACAAGAUAAUUCUUUAAGCAAGUUAAGUUGUUAACUCAUUGGGCUUAUAACUAGUUUAAAUAUUCUAUACCAAUAAUUUGUACUGCCAAUUUCCCAUAUUUCAGAUUCCAUGAGUUGACUGGGGGUGCUGUUACAUUUCCCAUAUUUUCCUCACAAGUCUUUUUCGUCUGAAGGGAAGAAUAGAUUAAAGGUAAAACGAGGGCGACGCCAAACCUAAUUCCAAUACUGCCAGGUUAACACUGAUAGGCUUACAGCAACCCAGAAAGUAUGAGCUUUCAGAUCUGUUGCAAUUCUCCAUCCAACAAGAUAAAUACUGCAACUGGAAAAGCACUUUAGGAGACAAACAAGACCAACUGCUACAUUUUCUUUCCCUUUUUAUCAUUUUAAGAUGAGUGAAAUCUAAAACCUCCACCAGCCCUGUCCUAUCAUUCAACGUGUUUAAUAACCUGAGGGGACUCUGUCUUUUUCCAGAAGAGAAAUUGUCGGUCAGAUCAUUACCAUAGUCAAUGGAGUCCAACCAUGAAAAAAUCCAUAUUUUCUAAUAGCUUCACCAUCUGGAGACUUGGUGGUACUGGCCAAUAAACACAAGCUUCCAACUAUGGACAUUUCUA